CGGAGGGCUAGCGUUGUUCGGAAUGACUGGGCGUAAAGCGCGCGUAGGCGGAUCGGAAGUUGGGGUGAAAUCCCGGGCUCAACCUCGGAAUGGCCUUCAAACUCCUGGUCUUGAGUUCGAGAGAGGUGAGUGGAAUUCCGAGUGUAGAGGUGAAAUUCGUAGAUAUUCGGAGGAACACCAGUGGCGAAGGCGGCUCACUGGCUCGACACUGACGCUGAGGUGCGAAAGCGUGGGAGCAAACAGGAUU
This 247-nucleotide ribosomal RNA is filed under the name uncultured bacterium. RNAcentral describes it as "partial 16S ribosomal RNA". It matches the Rfam family "Bacterial small subunit ribosomal RNA", at positions 528 to 779 of the family's 1533-position model. The record is from RNAcentral.